UGGGGAAUAUUGGACAAUGGGCGAAAGCCUGAUCCAGCCAUGCCGCGUGUGUGAAGAAGGUCUUCGGAUUGUAAAGCACUUUAAGUUGGGAGGAAGGGCAGUAAGCGAAUACCUUGCUGUUUUGACGUUACCGACAGAAUAAGCACCGGCUAACUCUGUGCCAGCAGCCGCGGUAAUACAGAGGGUGCGAGCGUUAAUCGGAUUUACUGGGCGUAAAGCGUGCGUAGGCGGCUAAUUGAGUCGGAUGUGAAAUCCCCGAGCUUAACUUGGGAAUUGCAUUCGAUACUGGUUAGCUAGAGUGUGGGAGAGGAUGGUAGAAUUCCAGGUGUAGCGGUGAAAUGCGUAGAGAUCUGGAGGAAUACCGAAGGCGAAGGCAGCCAUCUGGCCUAACACUGACGCUGAGGUACGAAAGCAUGGGGAGCAAACAGG
Molecule: ribosomal RNA, 429 nt
Filed under: Pseudomonadota bacterium
Lineage: Bacteria; Pseudomonadati; Pseudomonadota
Description: Proteobacteria bacterium partial 16S ribosomal RNA
Rfam family: Bacterial small subunit ribosomal RNA
Source: RNAcentral